UGUCACUGGUAAGGGCGUAUGGUGGAUGCCUUGGUAGACAGGACCGAUGAAGGACGUGACGGGCUGCGAUAUGCCUCGGGGAGCUGCCGAGUGGGCUUUGAUCCGAGGAUUUCCGAAUGGGGAGACCCGGCCACUGUUAUGGGUGGUCACCACAGUUUUNUUUUGUGGGGGGUACGCAGGGAAGUGAAACAUCUCAGUACCUGCAGGAAAGGAUACUCCGUGAGUAGUGGCGAGCGAAAGCGGAUCAGGCUAAACCGGGUGCGUGUGAUAGCCGUCAGGUGUUGCGCAUUCGGGGUCGUGGGAUUGGUUGUUCAGCCUCUGACGGGGUUGAGAAGAGUGAUAAAAUGUCGUGCUAGGUGAAUGGGAUUGAAUUCCCAGCCGUAGAGGGUGAUGGCCCCGUAGCUUGUCGUGCGAUGUCUCUUUAUGCUUAUUCCCAAGUAGCGCGGGCCUCGUGGAAUCCCGCGUGAAUCUGCCCAGACCGUUGGGUAAGCCUAAGUAUUCCUGUCUGACCGAUAGUGUACUAGUACCGUGAGGGAAAGGUGAAAAGCACCCCGGGAGGGGAGUGAAAUAGUUCCUGAAACCGUGCGCUUACAAUCCGUCGGAGCCUUCUUGUGGGGUGACGGCGUGCCUAUCGAAAAAUGAGUCUGCGAGUCAGUGGUAUGUGGCGAGGCUAACCCGGGUGGGGGAGCCGUAGCGAAAGCGAGUUUUAAAAGGCGUUUUAGUCGCAUGUCCUGGACCCGAAGCGGGAUGAUCUAGCCCUGAGCAGGUUGAAGCGCGGGUAAGACCGUGUGGAGGACCGAACCCACCUAGGUUGAAAACUGGGGGGAUGACUUGGGGUUAGGGGUGAAAGGCCAAUCAAAUUCCGUGAUAGCUGGUUCUCUCCGAAAUGCAUUUAGGUGCAGCGUCGUGUUAUUGCUUACAGGGGGUAGAGCUACUGGAUGCUUGCGGGCCCAUACCGGGUACCAAUAGCAGCCAAACUCCGAAUACCUGUUAGGUUUAUCACGGCAGUGAGUCGGCGGGGGAUAAGCUCCGUCGUCAAAAGGGAAACAGCCCUGAUCGUCGUCUAAGGUCCCGAAGCGCGUGCUAAGUGGGAAAGGAUGUGGAGUCGCAUAGACAGCCAGGAGGUUGGCUCAGAAGCAGCCAUCCUUGAAAGAGUGCGUAACAGCUCACUGGUCUAGUGGUUCCGCGCCGACAAUGUAGCGGGGCUUAAGCACGCCACCGAAGACGCGGCUGCAUGAUUUAUUUCAUGCGGGGUAGGAGAGCGUCCUGUAAGGGGUGAAGCGGCCGUGUGAACGUGUCGUGGACUUUACAGGAGUGAGAAUGCAGACAUGAGUAGCGAGAGACGGGUGUGAAUCCCGUCCGCUGGAUGACUAAGGGUUCCGGGGCCACGUUCGUCGUCCCCGGGUGAGUCGAGUCCUAAGGCGAGGCCGACAGGCGUAGUCGAAUGGAUGAACGGGUUGAUAUUCCCGUACCGGUGUUACACCGUUCGAACUGAAUCUGAGAGUACUAACCUUCAUUUGCAAGCUGGCUUCCUUUCGGGGUUGUUGGCUUGUUUGUGUUGGGAGCGUAUCGGUAGUAGGUUAGCGUGGGAGUGACGCGGGUAGGUAGCCGGCUGCGGAGGUGGUUUUCCGUGGCUAAGCGUGUGGGCUGUCCUCUAGGUAAAUCCGGGGGAUGUUAAAGCUGAGGCGUGAUGGGUAGGCUGUAAGGCUGAUUCCGGUGAUCCUGCUUGCCAAGAAAAGCUUCAACGUGAGGUGUGAUUCCGCUCGUACCCUAAACCGACACUGGUGGUCUGGUAGAGUAUACCGAAGCGAUCGGGCGAAUCCUGGCCAAGGAACUCGGCAAAUUACUCCCGUGCCUUCGGCAUAAGGGAGACCCCUGAUGGUGAUAUGGUUUUACACUGUUGAGCUGUUGGGGGUGGCACAAGCUAGGGGGUAGCGACUGUUUACCAAAAACACAGGAGCGUGCGAAGGCGUAAGCCGCUGUAUACGCUCUGACGCCUGCCCGGUGCCGGAAGGUUA
RNAcentral lists this ribosomal RNA (2018 nucleotides) under Gardnerella vaginalis. RNAcentral describes it as "bacterial LSU rRNA". It matches the Rfam family "Bacterial large subunit ribosomal RNA", at positions 1 to 1879 of the family's 2925-position model. Lineage: Bacteria; Bacillati; Actinomycetota; Actinomycetes; Bifidobacteriales; Bifidobacteriaceae. The record is from RNAcentral.